GCAUUAAGCACUCCGCCUGGGGAGUACGGUCGCAAGACUGAAACUCAAAGGAAUUGACGGGGGCCCGCACAAGCGGUGGAGCAUGUGGUUUAAUUCGAAGCAACGCGAAGAACCUUACCAGGUCUUGACAUCCUCUGACAACUCUAGAAGAAAAGCGUUCCCCUUCGGGGGACAAAAUGACAGGGGGUGCAUGGUUGCCUCACCUCCGGGCCGGGAAAUUUGGGUUAAGUCCCGCAACAAGCCCAACCCUUGAUUUUAUGUG
This 262-nucleotide ribosomal RNA is filed under the name Priestia megaterium. RNAcentral describes it as "Bacillus megaterium partial 16S ribosomal RNA". It matches the Rfam family "Bacterial small subunit ribosomal RNA", at positions 857 to 1117 of the family's 1533-position model. Lineage: Bacteria; Bacillati; Bacillota; Bacilli; Caryophanales; Bacillaceae. The record is from RNAcentral.